RNAcentral lists this ribosomal RNA (551 nucleotides) under Halorubrum californiense. RNAcentral's name for it is "bacterial SSU rRNA". It matches the Rfam family "Archaeal small subunit ribosomal RNA", at positions 300 to 854 of the family's 1478-position model. The record is from RNAcentral. Lineage: Archaea; Methanobacteriati; Methanobacteriota; Halobacteria; Halobacteriales; Haloferacaceae.
CCGGCGUUCCGCGGCCCCNCCNGANGGGGUGCAGCAGGCGCGAAACCUUACACUGCACGACAGUGCGAUAGGGGGAUNCCAAGUGCACAGGCAUAGCGCCUGUGCUUUUCGGCACCCUAAGGCGGUGCCAGAAUAAGGGCUGGGCAAGACCGGUGCCAGCCGCCGCGGUAAUACCGGCAGCCCAAGUGAUGGCCGAUCUUAUUGGGCCUAAAGCGUCCGUAGCUGGCCGCGCAAGUCCAUCGGGAAAUCCACCUGCUCAACAGGUGGGCGCCCGGUAGAAACUGCGUGGCUUGGGACCGGAAGGCGCGACGGGUACGUCCGGGGUAGGAGUGAAAUCCCGUAAUCCUGGACGGACCGCCGAUGGCGAAAGCACGUCGCGAGAACGGAUCCGACAGUGAGGGACGAAAGCCAGGGUCUCGAACCGGAUUAGAUACCCGGGUAGUCCUGGCCGUAAACAAUGUCUGCUAGGUGUGGCUCCCACUACGAGUGGGUGCUGUGCCGUAGGGAAGCCGCUAAGCAGACCGCCUGGGAANACUUCCGCAAGGUNAAUA